GGGAACGUCUAAGGAGACUGCCGGUGACAAACCGGAGGAAGGUGGGGAGUGACGUCAAGUCAUCAUGGCCUUACGGCCAGGGCUACACACGUGCUACAAUGGUCGGUACAAAGGGUUGCCAAGCCGCGAGGUGGAGCUAAUCCCAUAAAACCGAUCGUAGUCCGGAUCGCAGUCUGCAACUCGACUGCGUGAAGUCGGAAUCGCUAGUAAUCGUGAAUCAGAAUGUCACGGUGAAUACGUUCCCGGGCCUU
This 251-nucleotide ribosomal RNA is filed under the name uncultured Pseudomonas sp. RNAcentral's name for it is "partial 16S ribosomal RNA". It matches the Rfam family "Bacterial small subunit ribosomal RNA", at positions 1132 to 1382 of the family's 1533-position model. The record is from RNAcentral. Lineage: Bacteria; Pseudomonadati; Pseudomonadota; Gammaproteobacteria; Pseudomonadales; Pseudomonadaceae.